AGAGGAGGACCCAUAUGGAGAUGUCGGUACCUUGUCUUUGCAGUUGUCUAUCGAGGCAGGCACAUCAUCUCCUAUCAUGACAGAUUGAUUUUAUAUAUUAUAAUUUUUUUAUAUUUAAUUUAUUUUAAUUUUUUAUCAUAUAUAAAUAAUUAAUUUUAAGUUUUUAUUUUGCUGUAACUAAUACUGUCAUUAAGCGGACUAGUGGAGCCGUCAAAAAUGAGAAGUUUGAGG
RNAcentral lists this long non-coding RNA (231 nucleotides) under Elaeis guineensis (African oil palm). RNAcentral's name for it is "long non-coding RNA (EGUI_LNC036117)". The record is from RNAcentral. Lineage: Eukaryota; Viridiplantae; Streptophyta; Magnoliopsida; Arecales; Arecaceae.